UAACGAGGGGGCACCCCUGCUCCGCCCCUCCGCGUGAGCGAAGAAGGCCUUCGGGUUGUAAAGCUCUUUCGCAAGGGACGAAAACUUAUGAUCGAAUAAAUCAUGAGGUUGACGGUACCUUGAUAAGAAGCACCGGCUAACUACGUGCCAGCAGCCGCGGUAAUACGUAGGGUGCGAGCGUUAAUCGGAAUUACUGGGCGUAAAGCGUGCGCAGGCGGUUUUGUAAGUCGGAUGUGAAAUCCCCGGGCUCAACCUGGGAACUGCGUUCGAAACUGCAAGGCUAGAGUGUGUCAGAGGGGGGUAGAAUUCCACGUGUAGCAGUGAAAUGCGGGAGAGAUGUGGAGGAAUACCAAUGGCGAAGGCAGCCCCCUGGGAUAACACUGACGCUCAUGCACGAA
This 398-nucleotide ribosomal RNA is filed under the name uncultured bacterium. RNAcentral's name for it is "bacterial SSU rRNA". It matches the Rfam family "Bacterial small subunit ribosomal RNA", at positions 369 to 757 of the family's 1533-position model. The record is from RNAcentral.